Long non-coding RNA from Mytilus trossulus (common blue mussel), 2341 nucleotides. RefSeq lists it as uncharacterized. The transcript has 6 exons. Lineage: Eukaryota; Metazoa; Mollusca; Bivalvia; Mytilida; Mytilidae. The record is from RefSeq and is a predicted model, not a curated record.
AAAAUUAUCCUCCAAUAUAAUUAAUGAUGUGAAAAAGGAUUAUUUCAAUGGCUUAGACAAUAUACAAGAAAUAUUGAUGUCUGGAAAUAAAUUAACGUUUGUUGACGGAGAAACGUUUCAAGAUAUGAAGAACUUAACUGUUCUUAAUCUUGACGUAUAUUGUGACUGCAACAUAAAGACGUUCCUGAAUUGGCUAAAUGUUGUCGAAAAGUACGAGUCCACUAUUAAUUGUGUUGAUUACAACGAUGCUCCUCUGACAACUUUGCCUUCCUGUUUUUUCGACAAAUGCAAUGGACCUCAAUGUUCGACGAUUGUAUGCAACCAGAACGAUUGCUAUUAUAACUAUACUGGAGAAGUGAUAUGCAGGAACGAACAAGACAUCAAGUGCACUGGUACGGGUUAUUGUGUUUGUUGAUUUCCUUAUAUAAAACACAUUUGUUGAGGGACGACUUACAUGGCCAAAAAAAAGUAAAAAGGACAACGAAAUGUCUGACAAAAAUGGUUACAGGGACAACAUACCUUGAAAAUGACUAGGAGGAGAAAUACGAAAAAACGUUACAAUACAUGUCUGAAACUUUAUUGUAUGCAAAGGAACAUGUAAACUAAUUCGUGGACAGUCUUAUUUCCCCCCCGAUUUUAUACAUGAUAUUUGUGAAAAAAAUAUUAUAUUGAAUUGAAACAGAUAAACUGAUGUCUAUCAUUUAGCAAUGUAUAUCCGUAUAUUCAUAAAUGUAUUUUUUAAAAAUACAUUUAAGUGUAACAGAUGCAUUGGAAUUGGUUUUAUAUAAUGACUUUUUUUAUGUACAUGUAUUUUAUUUUCAUAUUUUGCUUUGUAAGUUUGUCUGGUAAUAUUUCAUCAGUAUGACGAUAUAUGUACAUGUAGGUUACCAGUAGCUCAAAAGAGGGACGAAAGAUACCAGAGGGACAGUCAAACUCAUUAAUCGAAAAUAAACUGACAACGCUAUGGCUAAAAAUGAAGAAAAAAAAGACCAAACAGACACUUGAGUCGCUUUAGUGUAGUCACAUGUUGUCUAUAUUUUCGAAGGUACAUAGAAAACGGCGGAAAGAAAAACUGUUUAUACACGGUUAUUUCUAGAAUAUCUGAAGACAGAUAUAUUGUGUGAUUGUCAUACUAGUGGUAAAAGUUUUAAAUACAUGUAUGUAUGAUCGAUCAUUUGAAUAAAAUACACAGGAAGUAUACGAACAAAUAAUAAGCCAUAAUAAUAAUUGAAAUAACUGCUAAAAUGUUUUUUAUUAUCAAAGUGCCAAUAUGAAACCUAUAAAUUUCUAACGAAAAGAAAAUGAUAUCAAAAAAGAAAAUAUAAUUAAGGAACUGAAGAUUUUGAUAAAAAUAUGGCCAGAAAGUUAUAGCAUUCGUAUGAUGUAAAUACAGGAUAUACCGACCCAAAGAAUAAUGUCAAUCUCUAACUUCGUCCUCAGUUAAUAUACUUCCGUCAGGUCAUAUAUCCUUGUAUCGACCUCAUAUAAAAGGUAUAAUUGUUUAUUAUUAUUAGAAUAUAUAAUCACUAAGAUACUGAACUCAGGGGUAAAUCUAAUCGGAAAGUCCAUAAUCACUUGGCAAAAUCAAAUGACAAAACACAUCAAAAAACGAAUGGGAUUCCUGACUUGGUACAAGCAUUUUAAAAUGUAAAAAAUGGUGAAUUAAACCUGACUUUAAAGCGCUAAACCUAUCACUUUGAUGACAGUCUCAUCAAAUUUCGUUAUAUUUACAAUGAUGCGUGAACUAAACAGGCAUACUAAAUAAAAUAGUAAAACUAUGGGUACCGCAGUCAUCAUCGAUUAUAUAGAAUUUAUGAGAAUCCACAUGUAGUUCGUUCCACUACGCGAUUGAAUAAUUUUGACGUUUGUGGUUCAACGUAUUUUCUAAUUCAUAAUAGAAAUAUAUCAUAAUGACAUAUACAAGAACAAUAUCAUACUGACGGGAUAUUUUAAAGUACACAGUCACUUUAUAAGAUCCAACGAAACACAAACAAGUCGCUUAAUAUACAAAACACAUCAGCUAAAAAUGAAAGAUAAUACAAACACAUUGACGGGAUGUCUAAGUACCGAGCCACGUUAAAUGAAACAAUAGUAGUAGUAGUGGUAGAAGUAGUAUCACUUGUUAUCGAUACGAACAGUGAUACCCAUUUCACAGUGUUAACAUAAAUUAUUAAAGUUGGGCCAUUCUUCCGAAUAACAAUUAUAUGACAAAUAUAUGCAUACCGUAAUAUAUUAGUGUUGUGUAUGUAUAAGUUAAAUAAAAAGACACAAUAAACAAUUAUAAAAAAAAUGUUGACAGUGCUAUCAAAACCAAACAAAUAAAUAUACAAAUGUCUAUCAG